GAUGAACGCUGGCGGCGUGCUUAACACAUGCAAGUCGAACGAACAGACGCGGAGCUUGCUCGUCUCACGUUAGCGGCGGGCGGGUGAGUCACACGAGGAUACCCUACCUAUAAGACUGGGAUAACUACGGGAAACCGGAUCUAAUACCGGAUAAUAUAUUGAACCGCGUGGUUCAUUAGAGAAAGACGGUUUUGCUGUCACGAAUAGAGGGUUCCGCGCUGCAUGGGCUAGUUGGUACGGUAACGGCUUACCAAGGCGAGGAUGCGUGGCCGACCUGAGGGAGGGAUAGCCCACAUGGGAACGGGAACACGGUCAAGAGUCCUACGGGAGGCAGCAGUAGGGAAUCUGCCGCAAUGGGGGAAAGCCUGACGGAACAGGCCGGCGUGAGUGAUAAAGGCCUCGGGUUCGUAAUAACGUGUUACGGGGGAGAAACAAAUUUGGAAGAUACCACGGACGGAUUGACGGUACCGAAUCAGAAAGCCACGGCUAACUACGUG
RNAcentral lists this ribosomal RNA (497 nucleotides) under uncultured bacterium. RNAcentral's name for it is "partial 16S ribosomal RNA". It matches the Rfam family "Bacterial small subunit ribosomal RNA", at positions 28 to 507 of the family's 1533-position model. The record is from RNAcentral.